Molecule: transfer RNA, 73 nt
Filed under: Bos taurus (domestic cattle)
Lineage: Eukaryota; Metazoa; Chordata; Mammalia; Artiodactyla; Bovidae
Also listed under: 1 other name
Rfam family: tRNA
About the family: Transfer RNA (tRNA) molecules are approximately 80 nucleotides in length. Their secondary structure includes four short double-helical elements and three loops (D, anti-codon, and T loops).
Source: Rfam by way of RNAcentral
UCCUUGGUGGUCCAGUGGCUAAGACUCCAUGCUCCCAAAACAGAGGACCCAGGUUCGAUUCCUGGUCAGGGAG